GUUGACUAAUUGACCUAUAAAACUUUUCUGAAUACUUUAUUGUUUAUGUUACUUUAUUGCUUAUGUGUGUAAUUAUUUUAACUUGUUUUGUUAGUAAAACUAUGCUGCACAAGUAAGAUUAUCUGCACAAGUUAAGUAGGUUUAUGUCAUAUAUAUGACAUCAGCUAAGCAUAGGCUGAGUCAUUACUUAGUAUUUGGCUAUAAGUAUGUAAGAAGGAUGUAUGGAUGGUAUGUAUCAAAUUUGCAGCAUAGUAAACAUUGUUAUUGUCCCUUUCUCUUCCAUUUUUUUCUCUAAUUUCUGUUUUCUGUUUUUGAGCUUAUUGCUUCUGCUGCCAUUACAAAAGCUAACAGUGGUAUACAGAGCAGUGUUCUUAGAGGCUGUGAGAAAAAGAAAAACACACACCCAGAAAACUUGUUAGAAAUCAAAUGGCUUCUGGUAGUAAUGCUGUAAUUACUGUCCCUCAAUUUUCUGGGGAAAGUUAUCACAUAUGGGUUGUCAAAAUGAAAUCAUGUUUGAAGUCUUUUGGCUUAUGGGAUUAUGUAGAUGAAGACAAGCAGGUUCCACCACUGCAAGCUAAUCCCACAGUAGCUCAAAUGAAACACCAUGAGGAGGAAAAAUUGAAGAAGGAGAAAGCGGUUUCAGUUCUGCAUUCAGCCUUGGCAGAUGAUGUGUUUACGGGAAUCAUGCAUCUCGAAACAGCCAAGCAAAUAUGGGAUGAGCUGGACGAAAGGUAUGCUGGUGAUGAAAGGGUAAGAUCCAUAAAGUUAUUGACUCUUAAAAGGGAGUUUGAAAUGCUGAAAAUGAAGGAACAUGAAUCUGUCAAAGAAUACACCUCAAAACUAUCUCACUUGGUGAAUCAAAUGAGACUUCAUGGUGAGGUUGUAGAUGACAGCAAAGUAGUGGAAAAGAUGCUGAUCAGCUUACCCGACAAAUUUGAAGCCAAAGUUGCUGCUAUUGAAGAGUCAUGUGAUCUCAAGAAACUAACUGUUUCUGAGAUGGUCAGCAAAUUGACAGCUCAUGAACAAAGAUUCUCUAUGAGAAUGGAUGAUGUUUCUGAUGGUGCUUUUCAGGCCAAACACAAGCAGUUUGGAGUUGGACAGAAGAAAAAGAACUACAAACAUGGUGGUGAUCAAAAAGGAAAGAACAAAGAUGAUGGUAGUUCAAGUGAAUCUGCAGCAAAGGACAAGUUCCCUCCUUGUCUAACUUGUAAAAGAACAAAUCACUUGACAAAAGAUUGCUUUUAUAAGGGAAAGCCCCAAAUUAAAUGCAAUCACUGUAAUCGAUGGGGUCAUAGAGAGAAGUUUUGUCGAUUAAAACAAAACCAAUCUCAACCACAACAUGCACAUCAGGUUAACUUCACUGAUGAACAAGCCCAUGAAGAUCACUUGUUUAUGGCCACUCAUACAAGUAGCUCUUCUUCUAAAGAUGUAUGGUAUGUUGAUAGUGGGUGCACAAUCCACAUGGCAAAUGAACCAAGUCUCUUCACCUCUUUGGACAAAGCUGUACAAACCAAAGUGAAGAUUGGAAAUGGAAAAUAUGUGCAGGCCAAAGGAAAAGGUAUUGUUUCUGUUCACACUAGCAAAGGUCCAAAAUAUAUCCAUGAUGUUUUGUUGAUUCCAGAUCUGAGUCAAAAUUUGCUAAGUGUUGCUCAGUUAUUGAAGAAAGGAUAUUCAAUUUCCUUUAAAAAUAAUGUUUGUGUCAUAAUGGAUUCAACUGAUUCUGAAGUUGUGAAGGUUGAAAUGUGUGGAAAUAGUUUUCCAUUAAGUUUGAAUCAAGUGAAUCAAACAGCACUUGUUUCCAAACAUGAUGAUUCUGCACUAUGGCACAAAAGAUAUGGUCAUUUUAAUUUUAAUGCAUUAAAAUAUCUGCAAUCUCAUGAUAUGGUGAGAGACAUGCCAGAAAUUAAUUGUAUUAAUGAUUUAUGUGAUGCUUGUCAACUUGGAAAAAUGCAUAGAAAGUCCUUUCAGUCAACAAAUGUUACACGAGCAAAGGAAAAAUUGGAGCUUGUUCAUACCGACUUGUGUGGUCCUAUGAGUGUGCCCUCUCUUAGCCACAACAAGUACUUUCUAUUGUUUAUUGAUGAUCUGACUAGGAUGACAUGGGUGUAUUUUCUGACAAGUAAAGCUCAAACUUUUAAUGUCUUCAAAAAGUUUAGAGCUAUGGUGGAAUCUCAAAGUGGCUGCAAAAUCAAAGCUUUGAGAUCUGACAACGGAAAGGAGUAUACUUCCAAUGAAUUUAAUUUGUUUUGUGAAGAUAUGGGCAUUGUACAUCAGCUGACAGUGAGCUACACACCUCAGCAAAAUGGAGUUUCUGAGAGGAAAAACAGAACAGUUAUGGAGAUGGCAAGAUGUUUGAUUGCUGAAAAGCAAUUACCAAAAAGCUUUUGGGCUGAAGCUGUUUAUACAGCAGUGUAUCUCUUGAAUAGGCUGCCAACAAGGGCUGUUCAAGGGAAAACACCAAUUGAGGCAUGGAUAGGUGUGAAGCCUUCAGCCAAACAUUUGAAGGUCUUUGGAUCAAUAUGUUAUGUUCAUGUUGUAGCAGCAAAAAGAUCCAAAUUGGAUGAUAAAGCUGAAAUGGGGAUUUUUUUGGGUUAUGCAGCAAGCUCCAAAGGUUAUAGAGUGUACAACUUGAAGACAAAACAAAUUGUGAUCAGCAGAGACAUUGAUGUUGAUGAAAAUGCAUAUUGGGAUUGGGAAAAUGAUGAGGUUCAAAGAAGUACAAAAUCUGCUGAAAGUGCUCAUGACAAACAAGAGCACACAACAAAUGAAGAUGAAAAUCAGAUAGCUGAAUCUGAUUCCCUAAUUCUAAAGAGCAAAUCUCUGUCUGAAGUUUAUGAAAAUUGCAAUUUUGUUGAGAAUGAACCUUCUAGUUUUGAAGAAGCUUCAUUGAUAACAGAAUGGAAAGAUGCAAUGAAGGAGGAGCUGCUGGCCAUUAAUAAAAAUGGUACAUGGGAACUCACUCAAAGACCUAAAGAUAAAAAUGUGAUAGGAGUUAAAUGGGUUUACAGAACCAAGUUAAAUCCUGAUGGCUCCAUUCACAAACACAAAGCAAGGCUUGUUGUGAAAGGAUAUUCUCAAAUGGCUGGAAUUGAUUAUGGUGAUACAUUUGCACCGGUUGCUAGGCAUGAAACAAUUCGGUUGAUUGUUGCUCUAUCAGCACAAUGUGGAUGGAAGAUCUUUCAUUUGGAUGUCAAAUCGGCAUUCUUAAAUGGAAUCCUGGAGGAGGAAAUUUAUGUUGAACAACCUGCUGGUUUUAUUGUUGCAGGUUAUGAAGACAGUGUGUAUAGGCUUCAUAAAGCCUUGUAUGGGCUGAAACAGGCGCCUAGAGCCUGGUACAGUAGAAUUGACUCACAUUUUCUGCAAAAUGAUUUCAGGAGGAGUCAAAAUGAGCCUACACUUUAUGUUAAAAAAUGUGGCAAUGGGAAGAGGAUUAUAGUUUCUCUUUAUGUUGAUGACUUGUUGAUUACCGGUAAUGACAUUGAUGAGAUUAACAAGUUUAAGAAGAGCAUGUUGGAGGUCUUUGAAAUGACGGACCUGGGAUUGAUGAAGUAUUUUUUGGGAAUGGAAUUGCAUCAGCUUGAUGAUGGAAUAUUUCUUUCACAAAAGAAAUAUGCUAAUGAUGUGCUGAAAAAAUUCAAAUUGGAGAGUUGUAAAUCUGUUUCAACACCUCUUGCUGUAAAUGAAAAACUCUCAAAAUCUGAUGGAGAUGCUAAGGCAGAUGUUACUCAAUAUAGGAGUUUGAUUGGUUGUCUUCUUUACUUGACUGCAACUAGACCAGAUUUGAUGUUCUCUGCUAGUUUGCUUUCUAGGUUCAUGCAUUCACCAAGUGUAACACACUUAGGUGUGGGCAAAAGAGUGUUGAGGUACAUAAGAGGUACUACUGAUUUUGGUAUUUGGUACAACAAAGGUGAUAGUAAGAUUGAAGGCUUUGUUGAUAGUGAUUGGGCUGGAUCUAUUGAUGAUUCUAAAAGCACAAGUGGUUAUGUUUUUUCACUUGGUAGUGGUGUAUUUUCAUGGAAUUCCAAAAAACAAGAUGUGGUUGCUCAAUCCUCAGCUGAAGCUGAGUAUAUUGCUGCUGCAGCUGCAUCAAAUCAAGCUAUUUGGAUCAAAAAGGUAUUGAGUGAUCUGAAUCAUGUACAAGAGGAACCAAUUGUGCUAUGGUGUGACAACAAAUCAGCUAUAGCAAUUGCCAAAAAUCCAAUUCAACAUGGAAGAACAAAGCAUAUCAAUGUCAAAUUUCAUGCUAUAAGAGAAGCUGAACAAAAUGGAGAUGUAAAACUGCAGCACUGCAGUUCUGAAGAACAAUUGGCAGACAUUUUAACAAAAGCACUUCCUAGUGCCAAGUUCAUGGAGCUAAGAAGCAAGCUAGGAGUAUUUCAAAAAAGUUUUAAGGAGGAGUGUUGACUAAUUGACCUAUAAAACUUUUCUGAAUACUUUAUUGUUUAUGUUACUUUAUUGCUUAUGUGUGUAAUUAUUUUAACUUGUUUUGUUAGUAAAACUAUGCUGCACAAGUAAGAUUAUCUGCACAAGUUAAGUAGGUUUAUGUCAUAUAUAUGACAUCAGCUAAGCAUAGGCUGAGUCAUUACUUAGUAUUUGGCUAUAAGUAUGUAAGAAGGAUGUAUGGAUGGUAUGUAUCAAAUUUGCAGCAUAGUAAACAUUGUUAUUGUCCCUUUCUCUUCCAUUUUUUUCUCUAAUUUCUGUUUUCUGUUUUUGAGCUUAUUGCUUCUGCUGCCAUUACAAAAG
Molecule: long non-coding RNA, 4743 nt
Filed under: Medicago truncatula (barrel medic)
Lineage: Eukaryota; Viridiplantae; Streptophyta; Magnoliopsida; Fabales; Fabaceae
Description: long non-coding RNA (MTRU_LNC001433)
Source: RNAcentral